UGCAAGUCGAGCGGACAGAUGGGAGCUUGCUCCCUGAUGUUAGCGGCGGACGGGUGAGUAACACGUGGGUAACCUGCCUGUAAGACUGGGAUAACUCCGGGAAACCGGGGCUAAUACCGGAUGGUUGUUUGAACCGCAUGGUUCAGACAUAAAAGGUGGCUUCGGCUACCACUUACAGAUGGACCCGCGGCGCAUUACCUAGUUGGUGAGGUAACGGCUCACCAAGGCAACGAUGCGUAGCCGACCUGAGAGGGUGAUCGGCCACACUGGGACUGAGACACGGCCCAGACUCCUACGGGAGGCAGCAGUAGGGAAUCUUCCGCAAUGGACGAAAGUCUGACGGAGCAACGCCGCGUGAGUGAUGAAGGUUUUCGGAUCGUAAAGCUCUGUUGUUAGGGAAGAACAAGUGCCGUUCAAAUAGGGCGGCACCUUGACGGUACCUAACCAGAAAGCCACGGCUAACUACGUGCCAGCAGCCGCGGUAAUACGUAGGUGGCAAGCGUUGUCCGGAAUUAUUGGGCGUAAAGGGCUCGCAGGCGGUUUCUUAAGUCUGAUGUGAAAGCCCCCGGCUCAACCGGGGAGGGUCAUUGGAAACUGGGGAACUUGAGUGCAGAAGAGGAGAGUGGAAUUCCACGUGUAGCGGUGAAAUGCGUAGAGAUGUGGAGGAACACCAGUGGCGAAGGCGACUCUCUGGUCUGUAACUGACGCUGAGGAGCGAAAGCGUGGGGAGCGAACAGGAUUAGAUACCCUGGUUAGUCCACGCCGUAAACGAUGAGUGCUAAGUGUUAGG
This 790-nucleotide ribosomal RNA is filed under the name Bacillus sp. B1(2016). Its description in RNAcentral is "bacterial SSU rRNA". It matches the Rfam family "Bacterial small subunit ribosomal RNA", at positions 56 to 827 of the family's 1533-position model. The record is from RNAcentral. Lineage: Bacteria; Bacillati; Bacillota; Bacilli; Caryophanales; Bacillaceae.